Molecule: long non-coding RNA, 819 nt
Filed under: Gossypium barbadense (sea-island cotton)
Lineage: Eukaryota; Viridiplantae; Streptophyta; Magnoliopsida; Malvales; Malvaceae
Description: long non-coding RNA (GBAR_LNC005881)
Source: RNAcentral
CGUUCUAUAAAUAAUUGGAUAAUUUGUAAUACUUGCUUUAGUAAAACCAAAAUUGAAGUUAUUGCAGAAGCCAAUAAUUUUGGGAACAUUUUUUAUAUUAUUUUAAAAACUUUUUGUUGAGGCCCAAUUUUGGCCCAACUUAAACCAAAAAACUACCUACCCAAAUAACCCCAAAACCCAAUUAGACCCAAAACAAAAAAAAAACCCAGCCUAAUACAUUAAAAAAAUCUAAACAAAAAAAAAACCUAGCCCCAUGACCCUAGUGCCGCCCUUAACCUCUGCCACCAGCUGCCAUGGCAGCACCUCCACUUGCCCCACUUGCCUGCAACGGAAAAGACAAAUAAAUUAAAAUAAGAAUAAUUUGUAAAAGGAUAUAUGAAGCCACAAUCUCAAUGUAAUGAAAGGGGAGGAAAGGAUUGUAUUUUUGAAAGGGGGUUUUCUUUGGAUACAAAAAAAAGAGAAGAAUGUAAAAGCAAAAGGUUUUCAAACAAAUCUGAAUAAAAAAAACAGCGAGUAUUGAAGAAGAAAAGAUUCAAACGCGUUAAGGUUUUUAUUUAUUUUUCUUUUUUAUUUUCAUUUUUUUCUAUACAUAUAAACAUAUUUUCUCUUCUUUUUCUUUUAAAGAUAGUAUAUAUAUUUAGAUAUAAAAAUAUAAAAAAAUAAUACCUUUUCUAAAUUCCGGCCACCGUGCGACGGCGGCGAAGACGGCGGACGGCGUCGGUCUGGCGCCUGGGUACUGACCGGAGCUAGGCCGGAUUCAAAGGGGGAGAGAGAGUUGAGAGCAAAUCUUUUUUUUUUUUUGAAAGGGGGGGUUAAAAC